RNAcentral lists this non-coding RNA (253 nucleotides) under Devosia indica. RNAcentral's name for it is "partial 16S ribosomal RNA". It matches the Rfam family "Bacterial small subunit ribosomal RNA", at positions 524 to 776 of the family's 1533-position model. The record is from RNAcentral. Lineage: Bacteria; Pseudomonadati; Pseudomonadota; Alphaproteobacteria; Hyphomicrobiales; Devosiaceae. RNAcentral also lists the same sequence under 3 other names.
UACGAAGGGGGCUAGCGUUGUUCGGAUUUACUGGGCGUAAAGCGCACGUAGGCGGUUUGUUAAGUCAGAGGUGAAAUCCCGGAGCUCAACUCCGGAACUGCCUUUGAUACUGGCAAGCUAGAGUCCGGAAGAGGUAAGUGGAACUCCUAGUGUAGAGGUGGAAUUCGUAGAUAUUAGGAAGAACACCAGUGGCGAAGGCGGCUUACUGGUCCGGAACUGACGCUGAGGUGCGAAAGCGUGGGGAGCAAACAGG